This 22-nucleotide microRNA is filed under the name Ixodes ricinus (castor bean tick). RNAcentral's name for it is "iri-miR-X12-3p". The record is from RNAcentral. Lineage: Eukaryota; Metazoa; Arthropoda; Arachnida; Ixodida; Ixodidae.
ACUCGACGUAGCGCCCGCACUC